Molecule: ribosomal RNA, 253 nt
Filed under: uncultured bacterium
Lineage: Bacteria
Description: partial 16S ribosomal RNA
Rfam family: Bacterial small subunit ribosomal RNA
Source: RNAcentral
UACGUAGGGUGCAAGCGUUGUCCGGAAUUAUUGGGCGUAAAGAGCUCGUAGGCGGUCUGUCGCGUCUGCUGUGAAAACUCAGGGCUUAACCCUGAGCUUGCAGUGGGUACGGGCAGACUAGAGUGCGGUAGGGGAGACUGGAAUUCCUGGUGUAGCGGUGAAAUGCGCAGAUAUCUGGAGGAACACCGGUGGCGAAGGCGGCAUCCUGGACCGGUAUUGACGCUGAGGCGCGAAAGCCAGGGGAGCAAACGGG